UCUCACCCCCUUUUCCCUCUGAUGAAACCUCCCACGCCGCUCCUUCUCUUUCCCCCAUCCCCGCCAGUCCGCCACCACGCGCCAAUCCCGCCGUCGCCCGUCGAUCCGGCGCGCAGUUCCACCCUCGUCUCUCUCCCUGGUCCAGUAACGUCACCCAGCCCCUUAGCUUUUCCUCCUGACGCGAAAAUGUCCUUUUGACUCCCAUCUCCGUCUUGUUGGCCAGCAGAUCUGGCAGCCCUCGGCCAUGACGCUGCGAGCUCUGGCCGGCUUGACCUCGUCAGCUCGUCGCCCCCAUUCAAUAGGUGCUGGACGCCGCUCCUCGGGACCGCGGCGGUCUUCUUCAUGGGCUCUCUCUCCCUUCACCUCCUACGCCAUGUAUCAGCCCCUUCCUGAAACUCCUCCUCAUCCGUGUGCCCCUCUGAUGUCGCCGAGUGGACCACGCCCACACCCGCCUCCGCCCGCCUGUACCAGGAUUUGCUCCUGUUGUUCAAGUUGAAUAGCAGGGAGGUGGAGGAGAUGGUGCCAUGAAGGGCUAGUGUGGUGGUGAGGUUCAAGUUCUAUAACGAGGCCAUGGUUGUUUGCAUGUCUGUUUAGUUUUUUUCUUUUGUAUGGUUGUUGAAAAACAAAGCCGAGCCUAUUAGUUUGGAAAGUAAAGUCAAGCCUAUGUGUUGAAAAAUAGUUUGAUUAACUAGCAAGUGGCCAUUUGCGUCGGUGAGUUGAGCUGGCUAGCUUGUGUUGAUGCAUGCAUGUUUGGUCAAGGCUAGCUAGUUGCGGCAGUUGGGAAUAGUACAUAAGAGAAGAGACCCUAUAUCAGCGUGUGUAAUCAGGACUGGCAUGUAUACUUGAUACUACUGUAUAGCUUAACUAGCAGUCCCUCUAAGCAAACCAACUAACAUUGAAGAGGUCCUCCAUUCAUGUCAUAGUACGUACAUUCCUAGUUCUUUUUCCUUCAGUUUUGGUUCGUAGAUGUAAUUGUAAGUUUUGUAAUCUCGCUUUUGCUUUUCUUAUCAGUAUCUUGUAGUUCUGUAACAUUUAACUUGUAUGCCUAAGGCUGAAGCAGUCACUGACAUGUUAACAUCAUGUCAUGUGUGUUCUUUCUCAAAGAUGUAGAGCAGGGUUUCUUACAGUUUGAUAAAUAUAGGCCACAUCAGAUUUUGAAGGCGGCUUUCAAAGGGGGUGAGAUGAUGCUCGUCAAGACCAGCUGAAAAGUUUAUUGGUAUAUUCCUUUUGUACACAGAGCAACGUGUAGUACUCAGUCUAUUAUUUGGAGUUGCGUUCCUGCUGAUUCAUGUAACCCUGAAAAUUGCAUGUGAAGGACCAAAAGGAAUGGGAGACAGUACUGAAGAAUCAUGAUCUAUGGCAAGGGUGAUGAUGUCUAUGGCGAUGAUUGUUAUGAUCUAUUUGGCGACGAGCAUUAUGAUCCAUAUGGUGAUGAAGGGUGACGAGUCUAGUGAUCUUUCUUCAAGACGUUCAACAAAGUGAAAUCAUGGGGUUUUGGUCAAUCUAGCUUAUGCAUAAUGCUUGGACCAUUAUAUCUUAGUUUUUUUUGCAUUUUAAACUUUCUAGAUUACUCAUCAUGAUCAAUGUAAUUCUGAUGCAACUCUUCUGAUAUUUUGAAAGUUGUGCUAUAUACAAUAUAUGUUACUUGGUCAUGUGUGGGCUGUGCAAUUCUGUGAUAUAUU
This is a long non-coding RNA of Triticum dicoccoides, 1682 nucleotides long. RefSeq lists it as uncharacterized. The transcript is spliced from 4 exons. NCBI's taxonomy places the organism in Eukaryota, Viridiplantae, Streptophyta, Magnoliopsida, Poales, Poaceae. The record is from RefSeq and is a predicted model, not a curated record.